GUCUGCAUAAGAUGGCGCUCAGUAGACAUGCAUAUACGGUUUAAACUCAACUGAGCAACUUUUCGCUUUUCUUUUUGUUACAGCUAUUAUUUAGGUUGUGAUGAUAGACCACGUUUUAGACUUGUUGUUUCCCUGCCUUGCCUGUCUAAUGCAAAUUUCUUUGAAAAUAGGCCACCAGUCAAAUGGCCAAGAGAUUUAUUCAACAAAAUAUAUCCUUUGUGAGAGUUCGAGCUGGUUUCGUUUAUGAUAAAGGAUAGGCAGCUCUAUAAAAUAUAGUGAAGGUCACGACAAUACUGCGGGAAGAAACUACAAUUUUAAGAUGAAAUUUCGUAUUAUUUUGGCUUAUGCUUUGUGUUCGUGUUUUGGUUGGAUAAUCUUGAGAGUGACAGGCGAAAGUCUUGAC
Paramuricea clavata is the source of this 403-nucleotide non-coding RNA. The record is from the annotation of a GenBank genome assembly. Lineage: Eukaryota; Metazoa; Cnidaria; Anthozoa; Malacalcyonacea; Plexauridae.